This 262-nucleotide unclassified non-coding RNA is filed under the name fungal sp. Its description in RNAcentral is "partial internal transcribed spacer region". The stretch from base 1 to 46 matches the Rfam family "Eukaryotic small subunit ribosomal RNA", at positions 1786 to 1831 of the family's 1831-position model. Lineage: Eukaryota; Fungi. The record is from RNAcentral.
AAGUCGUAACAAGGUUUCCGUAGGUGAACCUGCGGAAGGAUCAUUACCAAAUCCAAAAAACUUUAUCAACACCCCAAUGUGAACUAUGAAUGGUUUCGUUCCCUCGAACAGAUUUCGGGAUCUUGCUAAAAACAAAGUUCCGAGCUGCGAGAGGGAAUGUUAUAAUUUUCAACCCCUUUACAACUAUACAACUAUUAUUUAUGCUGAAAGCAAAAACAAACGAAACAUGAGACAACUUUUAACGGUGGAUCUCUUGGCUCGU